UACGGGGGGGGUAAGCGUUGUUCGGAAUUACUGGGCGUAAAGGGCUCGUAGGCGGCCAACUAAGUCAGACGUGAAAUCCCUCAGCUUAACUGGGGAACUGCGUCUGAUACUGGAUGGCUUGGAUUCGGGAGAGGAAUGCGGAAUUCCAGGUGUAGCGGUGAAAUGCGUAGAUAUCUGGAGGAACACCGGUGGCGAAGGCGGCGUUCUGGACUGCUACUGACACUGAGGAACGAAAGCCAGGGGAGCAAACGGG
Molecule: ribosomal RNA, 253 nt
Filed under: uncultured bacterium
Lineage: Bacteria
Description: partial 16S ribosomal RNA
Rfam family: Bacterial small subunit ribosomal RNA
Source: RNAcentral